RNAcentral lists this ribosomal RNA (538 nucleotides) under uncultured archaeon. RNAcentral describes it as "bacterial SSU rRNA". It matches the Rfam family "Archaeal small subunit ribosomal RNA", at positions 326 to 866 of the family's 1478-position model. The record is from RNAcentral.
CGGGGUGCAGCAGGCGCGAAAACUUUGCAAUACACGAAAGUGUGACAGGGUCAUCCCGAGUGCCGACCGCUGAGGUUGGCUUUUACCCAGUCUAGAAAGCUGGGGGAAUAAGGAGAGGGCAAGUCUGGUGUCAGCCGCCGCGGUAAUACCAGCUCUCCGAGUGGUGUGGACGUUUAUUGGGCCUAAAGCAUCCGUAGCUGGCUGAACAAGUCCCCUGUUAAACCCACCGAUUUAAUCGUUGGUCUGCGGGGGAUACUGCUCGGCUAGGGGACGAGAGAGGCAGACGGUAUUCCCGGGGUAGGGGUGAAAUCCUAUAAUCCCGAGAAGACCACCAGUGGCGAAGGCUGUCUGCUAGAACGCGCCCGACGGUGAGGGAUGAAAGCUGGGGGAGCGAACCGGAUUAGAUACCCGGGUAGUCCCAGCUGUAAACGAUGCAGACUAGGUGUUUGGACGGCCACGUGCCGUUCUAGUGCCGCAGGGAAGCUGUUAAGUCUGCCGCCUGGGGAGUACGAUCGCAAGAUUGAAACUUAAAGGAAUU